RNAcentral lists this ribosomal RNA (540 nucleotides) under uncultured Planctomycetia bacterium. Its description in RNAcentral is "bacterial SSU rRNA". It matches the Rfam family "Bacterial small subunit ribosomal RNA", at positions 117 to 668 of the family's 1533-position model. Lineage: Bacteria; Pseudomonadati; Planctomycetota; Planctomycetia. The record is from RNAcentral.
GUGGGUAACGUACCCCCCGGACCGGGAUAGCCACGGGAAACUGUGGGUAAUACCGGGCGACGUGGCGGAGUCGCAUGGCUCUGCUACCAAAGGUCCGCCGCCGGGGGAGCGGCUCACGUGCUAUUAGCUUGUUGGCGGGGUAACGGCCCACCAAGGCAAAGAUGGCUAGCGGGUGUGAGAGCAUGACCCGCGCCACUGGCACUGAGACACUGGCCAGACACCUACGGGUGGCUGCAGUCGAGGAUCUUCGGCAAUGGGCGCAAGCCUGACCGAGCGACGCCGCGUGCGGGAUGAAGGCCUUCGGGUUGUAAACCGCUGUCGAGGGGGAGGAAGCCGCAAGGUUGACCUAUCCCUGGAGGAAGCACGGGCUAAGUUCGUGCCAGCAGCCGCGGUAAGACGAACCGUGCGAACGUUGUUCGGAAUCACUGGGCUUAAAGGGCGCGUAGGCGGGUCAGCCAGUCCGGGGUGAAAUCCUUCGGCUUAACCGGAGAACUGCCUCGGAGACGACUGAUCUGGAGGGAGGUAGGGGUCGCUGGAACU